This 301-nucleotide ribosomal RNA is filed under the name uncultured bacterium. RNAcentral's name for it is "partial 16S ribosomal RNA". It matches the Rfam family "Bacterial small subunit ribosomal RNA", at positions 509 to 807 of the family's 1533-position model. The record is from RNAcentral.
CAGUAGCCACGGUAAUACGAGGGGGGCAAGCGUUGUUCGGAAUUAUUGGGCGUAAAGGGUGCGUAGGCGGUUUGGCAAGUUUGGUGUGAAAUCUUCGGGCUCAACUCGAAGUCUGCAUCGAAAACUGCCGGGCUUGAGUAUGGGAGAGGUGAGUGGAAUUUCCGGUGUAGCGGUGAAAUGCGUAGAUAUCGGAAGGAACACCUGUGGCGAAAGCGGCUCACUGGACCAUAACUGACGCUGAUGCACGAAAGCUAGGGGAGCAAACAGGAUUAGAUACCCCCGUAGUCCCUGUCUCUUAUAC